AUGAAGGCACAGGCACAUACAACACUGACCUCUUUUCAAUUUUUGCUGUUUGUUGUGUUUUAUUUUUGCUACAGAAAAAAAAUAUAUCCUGGAUACUGUUGCUGUUUCUUUUUAUCACUGGCACUGAACUCAGAGAGGUAGGUUAAGUAUAUUGUUUUACAAAAAAGCAAAAUAGUUAACCAAACAUUGAUUACCAGUAAACUGACUCAGACACUCUUAAUAUAAGUUAACCCUGUGUCACCAUUUCUGAAACAUUUUUUAAAAUUCUGUUUUUCAAAUUAAAGAAGCUAGAAUAUUCAUUAAAUUGCUGGUUCAAAAUGGUUUAUGUUGUCAGCGUAGAACAUUAAAAAAGUCAUAGAAAAUAUUGAAUUCAGGUACAUUAUAA
Molecule: long non-coding RNA, 385 nt
Filed under: Lepisosteus oculatus (spotted gar)
Lineage: Eukaryota; Metazoa; Chordata; Actinopteri; Semionotiformes; Lepisosteidae
Description: lncRNA (ENSLOCG00000022080.1)
Source: RNAcentral